Molecule: ribosomal RNA, 530 nt
Filed under: Sarcostroma sp.
Lineage: Eukaryota; Fungi; Ascomycota; Sordariomycetes; Amphisphaeriales; Sporocadaceae
Description: LSU rRNA
Rfam family: Eukaryotic large subunit ribosomal RNA
Source: RNAcentral
CCCUAGUAACGGCGAGUGAAGCGGCAACAGCUCAAAUUUGAAAUCUGGCCCUUGGGUCCGAAUUGUAAUUUGUAGAGGAUGUUUUUGGUGCGGUAUCUUCCGAGUUCCUUGGAACAGGACGCCUUAGAGGGUGAGAGCCCCGUACGGUUGAAUGCCUAGCCUUUGUAAAACUCCUUCGACGAGUCGAGUAGUUUGGGAAUGCUGCUCUAAAUGGGAGGUAAAUUUCUUCUAAAGCUAAAUACCGGCCAGAGACCGAUAGCGCACAAGUAGAGUGAUCGAAAGAUGAAAAGCACUUUGAAAAGAGGGUUAAAUAGCACGUGAAAUUGUUGAAAGGGAAGGAUUUAUGACCAGACUUUUCCUAGGCGAAUCAUCCGGUGUUCUCACCGGUGCACUUCGUUUAGUUUAGGCCAGCAUCGAUUUUCGGGGCGGGAUAAAAGCUUCAGGAAUGUGGCUCCCUCGGGAGUGUUAUAGCCUGUUGUAUAAUACCGCCCUGGGGAUCGAGGUACGCGCUUCUGCAAGGAUGCUGGCGU